RNAcentral lists this ribosomal RNA (117 nucleotides) under Candidatus Megamonas gallistercoris. The record is from RNAcentral. Lineage: Bacteria; Bacillati; Bacillota; Negativicutes; Selenomonadales; Selenomonadaceae.
UCCGGUGAUAAUGCCUAAAUGGAACCACCUGUAACCAUACCGAACACAGUAGUUAAGCAUUUAGAGGCCGAAAGUACUUGCAUGGAGACGUGCUGGGAAGAUAGGAAGUUGCCGGUU